RNAcentral lists this ribosomal RNA (589 nucleotides) under uncultured Rahnella sp. RNAcentral's name for it is "bacterial SSU rRNA". It matches the Rfam family "Bacterial small subunit ribosomal RNA", at positions 100 to 692 of the family's 1533-position model. The record is from RNAcentral. Lineage: Bacteria; Pseudomonadati; Pseudomonadota; Gammaproteobacteria; Enterobacterales; Yersiniaceae.
GACGGGUGAGUAAUGUCUGGGAAGCUGCCUGAUGGAGGGGGAUAACUACUGGAAACGGUAGCUAAUACCGCAUGACCUCGAAAGAGCAAAGUGGGGGAUCUUCGGACCUCACGCCAUCGGAUGUGCCCAGAUGGGAUUAGCUAGUAGGUGAGGUAAUGGCUCACCUAGGCGACGAUCCCUAGCUGGUCUGAGAGGAUGACCAGCCACACUGGAACUGAGACACGGUCCAGACUCCUACGGGAGGCAGCAGUGGGGAAUAUUGCACAAUGGGCGCAAGCCUGAUGCAGCCAUGCCGCGUGUGUGAAGAAGGCCUUAGGGUUGUAAAGCACUUUCAGCGAGGAGGAAGGCACCAUACUUAAUACGUGUGGUGAUUGACGUUACUCGCAGAAGAAGCACCGGCUAACUCCGUGCCAGCAGGCGCGGUAAUACGGAGGGUGCAAGCGUAAUCGGAAUUACUGGGCGUACAGCGCACGCAGGCGGUUUGUUAAGUCAGAUGUGAAAUCCCCGCGCUUAACGUGGGAACUGCAUUUGAAACUGGCAAGUAGAGUCUUGUAGAGGGGGUAGAUUCCAGGUGUAGCGGUAAUGCGUA